This 74-nucleotide transfer RNA is filed under the name Catenaria anguillulae PL171. RNAcentral's name for it is "tRNA-Val". The record is from RNAcentral. Lineage: Eukaryota; Fungi; Blastocladiomycota; Blastocladiomycetes; Blastocladiales; Catenariaceae.
GUCUUCGUGGUGUAGUUGGUUAUCACGUGUGCUUCACACGCACAAGGUCUCCAGUUCGAACCUGGACGAAGACA